RNAcentral lists this ribosomal RNA (279 nucleotides) under uncultured bacterium. RNAcentral describes it as "partial 16S ribosomal RNA". It matches the Rfam family "Bacterial small subunit ribosomal RNA", at positions 506 to 784 of the family's 1533-position model. The record is from RNAcentral.
UGCCAGCAGCCGCGGUAAUACGGAGGGUGCAAACGUUGUUCGGAAUUACUGGGCAUAAAGCGCACGUAGGCGGCUAAGUAAGUGUGAGGUGAAAUCCCACGGCUCACCCGUGGAACUGCUUUGCAUACUGCUUGGCUCGAGGAAGGUAGGGGAGAGCAGAACUCUUGGAGGAGUGGUGAAAUGCGUAGAUAUCAAGAGGAAUACCAGUGGCGAAGGCGGAUCUCUGGUCCUUGUCUGACGCUGAGGUGCGAAAGCUGGGGUAGCGAACGGGAUUAGAUA